CAAAUGUUUCCCAUGAAAUAGUUUUUAUCUCCUCCAUUUUCACAGUAAAUCUGAAACACAUGAGUAGUUGCCAUCUUUUGUAUAUGUUAAACAUUUCUCAUGGACAUUGUGAGGCCUCCAUGUUCAGCAUACACCAGCUAACACAGCAUGGGCUCCACCAUGGUUACUGCAGUUUAAGAAAGAAGUGGAUUAGAUGGCCUAAUUUCUAUUAAGUCAGUUAGGAAGUCAUAUUCAAUAAUUGGCCUAACUUAGGAUCUUUUCUCUUGUAUUUUUUUUAUUUAGAUUGGAUCAUCAUGAUCGUAGACACAAUAGAACAACUUCAAAUGUUCCCAAUGUAUUGCAAAAUGCAGGUGCAGUCAAGACGCGAAUGAAGUACUUCCAGACUACAUGAAGCACUUCUACAUGUUUUUAUUGAAGACAUUUGAUUCUUGUGAGGAUGAGCUAGGACCAAACAAAAGAUAUCGGGUGUUUUAUCUCAAAGAAAUGGCAAGUAUUGACUAGCCAACAAAUUACUUAGCAAACACAUGCAUUUAAUUGAAUAUCCACAAUUACUUCGACCGUUCAAAUCAUCAUUCAGAUUUCUGUGAUCAAAAUUCAGUUAAUUAAUUGUGCAUGGAGAAUUCCAAACUUUUGUGACAGGCAUGCACAAGCAAAACAACAUGAACUGAAAAUCUUUGUUGCAAAACUGUCUUCGAGAAAUCGCUAGGGCUUUGCACUGAUAUUACUAUAUAAUAUGUUCCACAAAUUUAUAUGUUGCAGUUAAAGAUAUUAGUCCGAGGAUACUCUCAGGAGAUAGAAUGGCGUGAUGAACAUUAUGUUCCUGAAACAAUUGACAAACAUCUAGAAAUUUCAAGAGUAACUGUUGGAGCUUUUCAACUGGCAUGCUCUUCAUUUGUUGGGAUGGGUGAUAUCAUAACAAAGGAAGUUCUCGAUUGGCUUUUGACAUAUCCAGAACUUCUCAAGUGUUUCACAACGUUUGUACGACUAUCCAAUGAUAUUACAUCAACAGAGGUCUUUCUCUAUCUUGACACAUCUUUAUGUAUAUUUUACACCUUAUAGUACCACCAAAUAUAAUCUUGUAACCAAAUUCCACAUGAUAUAAGUAGAUAUUUUAGUAAGUAUUGGUUUAACAGUACCAAACUAAUGAAACACAUGAUCACAAAGGUAUUUUUUUAAUGCAAACAUGGUUGCAAAGCUCACUUAGUCGGUCUACUUACCUUUUCACUAUAAAAUGUUGCAGCGCGAGCAAACUGGAGGGCAUCAUGCUUCAACUGUCCAAUGUUAUAUGUUGCAGCAUAGCACAACGAUGCAUGAUGCAUGUGAGAAGAUAAAAGGUCUAAUUGAAGAUUCAUGGAAGGAUAUGAUGCAACUCUACCUUACACCAACAGAACAGUCGAAGGUUGUGGCACAGACAGUUGUUGACUUUGCAAGGACUGGUGAUUACAUGUACAAGAAAACUGAUGCAUUUACUUUUUCCCAUACGAUCAAAGAUAUGAUAGCAUUGCUGUAUGUGGAGCCAAUAUUGUUCUAAACUGCAGAGGCCAGACAAGACCCAUUUACCAGCUAUCAUACUUCAGAAUGUAGUGUUUAAUUACUUUCAUCAGUAUAUAGAAUAACUUGGUGACUGCUAGACUUGUGUUCAGAAAUCUUGGCAGUUAAGGUAGUGUAAGAAAUGUUGUAAUAGGUAAAGUACAAAACACUAUCAUUAGCCCAUUAUAUAAAUGUAUUGUGUUACCCUCCCAAAUGACAUUUGUGCCUUUUUUUCCUUUUUUGCAUACAUUGUUUUGUUUCAAUCUCUCUAAAACUACUGGUGAUGCAAAAAAACAUGACAAUACUAGGUUUGUUAAAAUGCUUUUUAUGAGCAGGUGUUCAUUAUCACAUUUUGCUGUAUAUCAUCCUCAUGAGUCCCAGAAAGGAUGUUCAUUCUUUUGUUUAGGGAAACAGUUAUAAUGUACUCCCUCCGUCCACGAAAGAGUCAAUUUCUAGAGUUGUCCUAAGUCAAACUUUUUAAACUUUGACCAAAUUUCUAGAAAAAAAUGCUAAGAUUUAUAGUAUCAAAUUAGUAUUAUUAGAUUCAUCAUAGAAUAUAUUUUCAUAUAAUGUGUAUUUUAUAUUCUAGAUGUUGUUACUCUUUUCUAUAAAGUUAGUCAAACUUUAAAAAGUUUGACUGACACGGAUCCUAGGAAUUGAUUCUUUCGUGGACGGAGGGAGUAAUUGGCCUAUUUGAAAUUAUAUUUGAACAUAAGUAACUCCCAUAGUCUCAGAUGCAUUGGUUGGGUCAGGAAAUAGAACGUAAUGGGUGCAAAUACAAGACAGUAUCAGUAUCAUAGGUGUGUUUUUCAGGAAUCUUUACAAGUAGAGGCAGGGCAAUGUGUCCAUCAUGCUGAUGUGGUUCAAGAAACGGUGCAUCACUUCUUCAAGAGUGAGUUCUUCAGUAAGGAUCGCUCAAAUCAAAUUCACAAUUUCACAUAACUGGGACACAUCUGUCCAGGUUUUUGGCUGGCAUAUCUAGACACAAAUAACUGUGUGCGAGAUUAAAAGCUAGAUUUCCUUGCCAAGUGGUUGACUCUCUGACAAGCUGAUGAAUCUGCUAACUAUGGACGAAAGAGAGAAAUUGGCUGGUCACGGUAGCAUAUCAAGUUUUUUUUAGGAAUUAUUCUAGUCAACUAAAUCUUUCAAUACAAAAUUUCAAAAUCAAAUAAUAUGAUUUCAAUAUAUUACUACACAAAGUCGAUCUCAGUCUACUACAGCUGUCCUCAACAAUAGUUCCACGAAGGUCAGAACCGCAUGUUCUCCACAACUGAAUUCUAUGGGUGCUUCCUAAUCAAAGUAAACAGAUUCGUAGGGUUGCUCGGAUCACAAAGAAGCUCAGACGACAGCAGGACCAACGGCCAGAGAGUAAGUUGAUUUCAUUACAUACCUCAUCGGGCAAUCCCAUGUGCCCUGUUGCAUCGAGCAGCCAUUUCGUCGAGCACCUCGCGGGCUUCGUAGUGGAGCUCGAGACCCUGCCUGCCGGGCGAGGUUAGAAGGCGCUACUGGAGCCAUCGUUCGUGCCCAUCGGCCGCCGCUCGGUCCCGUGCCUCAGCUUCCAAGCUCCUGCCAAGCAUCCCGCUUGCCGUCCGCAGUCUGUCGACAACAACAAUGCAUUCCUCUCGUGCAUCGGCUGCUCUGUUCUUCUCGGAGGGCUAAGCGAUUUGUUUAGUCACAUAUAUAAUAACUGCCGUAUAUGGGCCUCUGGGAUUGUUGGGGUUGAAGGAGUGGAAUGGAAGCUUAACUCUACCAAACGGAUAACCAUAAGCCCAUAACGUGGAUAAAUAAGAUAAUUCAGCCUGAAGUCAUUCUGUUAUGGCAAAUGAUGCUAUGAUGAGCCGGGAUGGAGUCCCUGUUGAGACCAUGCAUGCAUCCUCGC
Molecule: long non-coding RNA, 3409 nt
Filed under: Sorghum bicolor (sorghum)
Lineage: Eukaryota; Viridiplantae; Streptophyta; Magnoliopsida; Poales; Poaceae
Description: long non-coding RNA (SBIC_LNC011666)
Source: RNAcentral